This 86-nucleotide non-coding RNA is filed under the name Staphylococcus lugdunensis. Its description in RNAcentral is "TPP riboswitch (THI element)". It matches the Rfam family "TPP riboswitch aptamer (THI element)", at positions 6 to 96 of the family's 105-position model. Rfam says of the family: Vitamin B(1) in its active form thiamin pyrophosphate (TPP) is an essential coenzyme that is synthesised by coupling of pyrimidine and thiazole moieties in bacteria. The record is from RNAcentral. Lineage: Bacteria; Bacillati; Bacillota; Bacilli; Caryophanales; Staphylococcaceae.
AGUACUAGGGGUGUUUUCGAACUGAGAUGGUGUCAUCCAAACCCUUUGAACCUGACCUAGUUAAUACUAGCGUAGGGAAGUAUAUA